This 279-nucleotide ribosomal RNA is filed under the name uncultured bacterium. RNAcentral describes it as "partial 16S ribosomal RNA". It matches the Rfam family "Bacterial small subunit ribosomal RNA", at positions 506 to 784 of the family's 1533-position model. The record is from RNAcentral.
UGCCAGCAGCCGCGGUAAUACGGAGGGUCCAAGCGUUAUCCGAAAUCAUUGGGUUUAAAGGAUUCGCAGGCGGCCUAUUAAGUCAGUAAUGAAAUCUCUCAACUCAACCGAGAAACUGCCAUUGAUACUGAUAGGCUUGAAUAUAGUUGGAGUAGGCGGAAUGUGUAGUGUAGCGGUGAAAUGCUUAGAUAUUACACAGAACACCGAUAGCGAAGGCAGCUUACUAAACUAUUAUUGACGCUCAUGAACGAAAGCGUGGGGAGCAAGCAGGAUUAGAUA